CCUACGGGUGGCAGCAGUGAGGAAUAUUGGUCAAUGGACGAGAGUCUGAACCAGCCAAGUAGCGUGAAGGAUGACUGCUCUAUGGGUUGUAAACUUCUUUUAUAUGGGAAUAAAGGGAUCCACGUGUGGGAAUUUGUAUGUACCAUAUGAAUAAGGAUCGGCUAACUCCGUGCCAGCAGCCGCGGUAAUACGGAGGAUCCGAGCGUUAUCCGGAUUUAUUGGGUUUAAAGGGAGCGUAGGUGGAUUGUUAAGUCAGUUGUGAAAGUUUGCGGCUCAACCGUAAAAUUGCAGUUGAAACUGGCAGUCUUGAGUGCGGUAGAGGUAGGCGGAAUGCGUGGUGUAGCGGUGAAAUGCUUAGAUAUCACGAAGAACUCCGAUUGCGAAGGCAGCUCACUGAGCUGCAACUGACACUGAGGCUCGAAAGUGUGGGUAUCAAACAGGAUUAGAUACCCUUGUAGUC
RNAcentral lists this ribosomal RNA (460 nucleotides) under uncultured bacterium. RNAcentral's name for it is "partial 16S ribosomal RNA". It matches the Rfam family "Bacterial small subunit ribosomal RNA", at positions 338 to 795 of the family's 1533-position model. The record is from RNAcentral.